This 495-nucleotide ribosomal RNA is filed under the name uncultured bacterium. RNAcentral describes it as "partial 16S ribosomal RNA". It matches the Rfam family "Bacterial small subunit ribosomal RNA", at positions 28 to 507 of the family's 1533-position model. The record is from RNAcentral.
GAUGAACGCUGGCGGCGUGCCUAAUACAUGCAAGUCGAACGCUGAAGGAGGAGCUUGCUCUUCUGGAUGAGUUGCGAACGGGUGAGUAACGCGUAGGUAACCUGCCUGGUAGCGGGGGAUAACUAUUGGAAACGAUAGCUAAUACCGCAUGACAACAGUUAUUGCAUGAUAACUGUUUAAAAGGGGCAACUGCUCCACUACCAGAUGGCGCUGCGUUGUAUUAGCUAGUUGGUGAGGUAACGGCUCACCAAGGCGACGAUACAUAGCCGACCUGAGAGGGGGAUCGGCCACACUGGGACUGAGACACGGCCCAGACUCCUACGGGAGGCAGCAGUAGGGAAUCUGCGGCAAUGGACGGAAGUCUGACCGAGCAACGCCGCGUGAGUGAAGAAGGUGUUCGGAUCGUAAAGCUCUGUUGUAAGAGAAGAACGAGUGUGAGAGUGGAAAGUGCACACUGUGACGGUAUCUUACCAGAAAGGGACGGCUAACUACGUG